CAAAAUAAAGUUUGAGUUUGGUGCCAUUAAAGUCGGAUUCAUGAAGUUCUAUUCGGGCACGUGCAGCUGCCUCUUGAUUGGUGAAGUUUAUCCGUACUCUCCGAAAGCUUUGGAACAGUUGGAAUGAGGCCUGCUCGUCAUAAACUCGGAAAAGGGCUUCAAAUCGAUCCUGGAUAAGAAAGUCCACUAAGCUGCAGUAAAUGGAAAAAAAGUUCACGCACAUAAUAGAGCUACAAGAUAAACUCCUGUCCGAGAGAGCAAUCAACGUUUGUUAAACAGCUGCAAGAAUAUGAAAAUAAUAAGAGAGGGAGAGAGAGAGUUUCGUUCCAAGCUGCUGCUACUGCUGCUGGACCUCGCUUCGGCUCGGAACUGUGAACAGUGCCAGAAACGAACCCAAGCCUCCAGACCAGCCACUGAUUAAGGGGUCCCCGACAGCCACAAGAACAUGAGACUUGUUGCUAUUUCUACAAAGGCGUGAGACGUGUUGCUUUUUUCUCCUCUUCUUUUCCAUUUAUUGU
This is a long non-coding RNA of Stegostoma tigrinum, 518 nucleotides long. RefSeq lists it as uncharacterized. The record is from RefSeq and is a predicted model, not a curated record. The transcript is spliced from 3 exons. NCBI's taxonomy places the organism in Eukaryota, Metazoa, Chordata, Chondrichthyes, Orectolobiformes, Stegostomatidae.